This 253-nucleotide ribosomal RNA is filed under the name uncultured bacterium. Its description in RNAcentral is "partial 16S ribosomal RNA". It matches the Rfam family "Bacterial small subunit ribosomal RNA", at positions 524 to 776 of the family's 1533-position model. The record is from RNAcentral.
UACGUAGGGUGCAAGCGUUGUCCGGAAUUAUUGGGCGUAAAGAGCUCGUAGGCGGUCUGUCGCGUCUGCUGUGAAAACUCAGGGCUUAACCCUGAGCUUGCGGUGGGUACGGGCAGACUAGAGUGCGGUAGGGGAGACUGGAAUUCCUGGUGUAGCGGUGAAAUGCGCAGAUAUCAGGAGGAACACCGGUGGCGAAGGCGGGUCUCUGGGCCGUAACUGACGCUGAGGAGCGAAAGCGUGGGGAGCGAACAGG